GUAACUUUUACCCCCAGAUUAAUUAGCAGAGCACUAAAGAAGCUACCCACUCCAGUUACAGAGUAGAAUGCAGAGUUUAGUUUUUGCAGCUACUCAGAGAAGACACAUGGAGAUUCUUGUGGAACUAAAUAAAGUGUCCUUCCAGGACCGCCACAAACUUGACAGCAUUCCAAGAACCUGUAUAUCAUUUCCUAUGUCUGUGGGCUAUGAGAAAAUUCAUUCAUUCAGAGUGUUACUGGCUGGAUUAUACAGUAUUCUUCAUUAGUCUUUAACAGUCAAGUGGAAAUUGUUUCCACUAUUUCACUAUGAAACAAUGUUUUUGACAUCAUUUCCAUUAGGAAUCAGUACAGAAAUGCAGAAUACAUAUUAUUUAUUUCCAUCCACCUAGAGUUCAGCAAUAUGAAUCAAGUUGGAAACUUUCAGAAAACUAAAAUACCUACUAUUUCUCUGCUAUCCAAUUACUAACUUAUUUCAGAAUUAAAUAAAUGAUGAGUUUCCUUCAUCUGUGGCUGCCAAGAUUUUUUAAUUCAAUGGCUUACUCUAUGUAGGACUCUGGCUUGGAAAUAGCUUUGAAAUGACAAUAUAUUAUGCUUAAGUUCUGGACCAAGAUCUUCAUUACCAUUCUGUUUAGGUGGUUGCAAGUUCCAGAGGUUAGCUGUGAUACAAGAAGUUCAGAACAGAAUCUUGUGGCACCUUUCCGGUUAUUGUUCUAUGUUACCAUAAAUCUGCUUGACUUUGGGGUGCCACAAGCCUUUUUUUGUUUGUGUUCACAUGGCACAAUGCUAAUAUAUCUAUAUAUCGAUAUCUAUAUCAAAAUGAAAAUGACCUUAUUUUAUUAUAGGAAAUAAUCAGUUGCUCAAUAAAACAUUCUAAGAAAGGAAAGGUUUUUCAAAAUGAGCCAAGCUCUACUCUACCUGUUGGUUUUUUAAU
Hemicordylus capensis (graceful crag lizard) is the source of this 930-nucleotide long non-coding RNA. RefSeq lists it as uncharacterized. NCBI's taxonomy places the organism in Eukaryota, Metazoa, Chordata, Lepidosauria, Squamata, Cordylidae. The record is from RefSeq and is a predicted model, not a curated record. The transcript is spliced from 2 exons.